This 1118-nucleotide long non-coding RNA is filed under the name Sus scrofa (pig). RNAcentral describes it as "lncRNA (ENSSSCG00070014804.1)". Lineage: Eukaryota; Metazoa; Chordata; Mammalia; Artiodactyla; Suidae. The record is from RNAcentral.
CUCUCUCUCUCUCUCUGUCUCUCUCGUCUCUCUCUGUCUCUCUCUGUCUCCCUCUCUCUCUCUGGUUUUGGUUUUGGUUUUGGUUUUAAUGGCUGCACCUGCUGCACAUGGAGUUUCCCAGGCUAGGGUCUAAUCAGAACUACAGCUGCCGGCAUAUACCACAGCCACAGCAAGUCACGAUGUGAGCCGAGUCGGUGACCUACAGCACAGCGCAUGGCAACACCAGAUCCUUAACCCACUGAGCGAGUCCAGGGAUCAAACCUGCAGCCUCAUGCUUUCUAGUCAGUUUUGGUUCCGCCGUGCCACAACGGGAACUCCAAUUUCCUCCUUUUGUCUGUCAGUUUCAACUAUGCAAGUCUACACUGUUCAAAUCAGUGGAGACCUACAUUUUUCCUGGGUUGGACGAGUGUUGACGGAAUGUCUCUCCCAAUGCAUGACUGAUUGAAAAAUUGACAGCAGCCUCUAGAAACUGGAAGUGCGGCUGAGAGCAAUGUUACCAGCAGAGAAUUGCCCUCCUUGCAAGAGAAUUUGGUGGGUUUUGGUCAAAGUACACAUAAGAAUUCCUACAGGAAGAUUUGAAGCCUUUGUCCAGGAUGACCUCUGUGUUUUCUUUGGGACCGUGGACUCGAGGAGUGUUUCCCUUUUGGGUUUUGCUGGGCAGAAAGACCAUGAAAAUUCUCAUGUCCAUAGAGACCAGGAAGCUUAGAUUCUCACACUGUUUUCUUGCACUAGAUGCCGGCCGAUGACGCAACUAAUAAUAAUGGCAUGGCUUUGGAGCCCCACUCCAGUGACAAACAAUCGGGGUGAAGAAGAAGAAGGUGGGUCUUCCUUGCGGGCAUUGGUUGGAGAGCAGCCAGAUCCUGGGUUCCUUUUGGAAACCUCUGGCUGCAUCAGAAAGUUAUGCUCCUGGCGCCACCAGCGAGUGCACCCCGCUAAUGGGUCGGGGACAGGUACGUGGAGAUUUUCUCCUUCGGUGCAUGCAAGAAUAAUUUUUCUUUAGGGUCCCCUGUAUACGAAUGAACUCGGAAGUAUUUUGUGGUAUCCUUUGUGCGUGCAUGCGUGCGUGCAUGCGUGCGUGUGUGUCCAAGUUGAAACAUACUUAGUCAGGUGGUAGUGUU